Molecule: ribosomal RNA, 320 nt
Filed under: uncultured bacterium
Lineage: Bacteria
Description: bacterial SSU rRNA
Rfam family: Bacterial small subunit ribosomal RNA
Source: RNAcentral
AAUCAACGCUGGCGGCGUGCCUAACACAUGCAAGUCGAACGCGAAAGCCCUUUCGGGGGUAAGUAGAGUGGCGUCCGGGUGAGUAACACGUAGGUAAUCUACCUUCGGGUGGGGAAUAACUCGCCGAAAGGCGAGCUAAUACCGCAUAAUGCAGCGGCACCUAAUGGUGAUUAGUUGUUAAAGCGGGGGAUCGUAAGACCUCGCGCCUGAAGAGGAGCCUGCGGCAGAUUAGCUAGNGGUGAGGUAAUGGCUCACCAAGGCUUCGAUCUGUAGCUGGUCUGAGAGGACGGCCAGCCACACUGGCACUGAUACACGGGCCA